Molecule: unclassified non-coding RNA, 251 nt
Filed under: uncultured fungus
Lineage: Eukaryota; Fungi
Description: sequence contains 5.8S rRNA gene
Source: RNAcentral
GAACGCACCUUGCGCCCUUUGGCUAUUCUGAAGGGCAUGCCUGUUUGAGUAUCAUGAACACCUCACCUCCUCGGGUUUCCGAUUAGGUGGAUUUGGGUGUUGCCUUUCGAGGCUCGCCUUAAAAGCAUCAGUGGCUUGAAGACGUGAUACGUUUCGUCGUGAAGGCUGCUUCCAACCUCCCGCAAGGGAUACUCCUAGAGUAAUUUAUGUCUACGACCUCAAAUCAGGUAGGGCUACCCGCUGAACUUAAG